GUUACUGAUAAAGCAGGCAAAACCUAAAUUACAAUGAGUGCGGAUCAUCUCUGUCUGUGCUGAUGGUAAUUUAGGU
RNAcentral lists this transfer RNA (76 nucleotides) under Bacillus subtilis subsp. subtilis str. BSP1. Its description in RNAcentral is "tRNA-Val". The record is from RNAcentral. Lineage: Bacteria; Bacillati; Bacillota; Bacilli; Caryophanales; Bacillaceae.